Molecule: non-coding RNA, 105 nt
Organism: Sphingobacterium sp. IITKGP-BTPF85
Lineage: Bacteria; Pseudomonadati; Bacteroidota; Sphingobacteriia; Sphingobacteriales; Sphingobacteriaceae
Source: Rfam
CGCUUAUAGAGAAAGGCAGAGGGAAUAGACCCAAUGAAGCCUUAGCAACCUGUCAAUUGACAAGGUGCUACAUUCUACCCCAUCAAAAAGUGGGAAUGAUAAGCU